RNAcentral lists this ribosomal RNA (604 nucleotides) under Sciomyza simplex. RNAcentral describes it as "partial 12S ribosomal RNA". The stretch from base 404 to 475 matches the Rfam family "tRNA". The record is from RNAcentral. Lineage: Eukaryota; Metazoa; Arthropoda; Insecta; Diptera; Sciomyzidae.
UUAGUUAUGUUCUUGAACUUAAAAAAUUUGGCGGUAUUUUAGUCUAUUCAGAGGAACCUGUUCUGUAAUCGAUAAUCCACGUUGGACCUUUCUUGAGUUUGUAUUCAGUUUAUAUACCGUCGUUAUCAGAAUAUUUUAUAAGAAAAAUAAUUUUCUAUAAAUUUAAUUAAAUUUUAUAUCAGAUCAAGGUGUAGCUUAUACUUAAGUAGAAAUGGGUUACAAUAAAAUUAUUUAUAUGGAUGUAAAUAUGAAAAAUUUACUGAAAGUGGAUUUGAUAGUAAAAUUAUAAAGAUUAAUAAUUUGACCUUAGCUCUAAAAUAUGUACACAUCGCCCGUCGCUCUUAUUAUUAAGAUAAGAUAAGUCGUAACCUAGUAGAUGUACCGGAAGGUGUAUCUAGAAUGACAAUUUAAAGCUUAUUUAGUAAAGUAUUUCAUUUACAUUGAAAGGAUUUUUGUGCAAAUCAAUAUAAAUUGAUUAAGUUUUAUUUAUUAAUUUUUUUUUUUAUAUUUUAAAUUAUUAAAAAUAAUUAUAAAUUUAAUUGUUUUAGUAUUGUAUAAAGAAUAAAUAAUUUUAAUAAUAGUUAAUUAGUAUCGUGAGAGAAUA